This is a long non-coding RNA of Ceratina calcarata, 3228 nucleotides long. RefSeq lists it as uncharacterized. The transcript has 2 exons. NCBI's taxonomy places the organism in Eukaryota, Metazoa, Arthropoda, Insecta, Hymenoptera, Apidae. The record is from RefSeq and is a predicted model, not a curated record.
AUCAAGCCAUCACCGUCACGUCGACAAGCGACUGUCCGCGAUGAUCUGCACAAUAAGUCAAUCAGCGGGUCGAUCAGAAGUAGACAGACCACCAACCGUGCGACGUGAAACUCCUGACAAAUGAUUCUGCCGAUACGAGAGAGGCUCAGAAACGAAUCCGAGUGACGUCUUCAUACUCGUCCUCGCGCCACGGAUUCUCGCAGUGGCCGUAGAAACCAUGGAGCACGUCCGUCACACAAAUCGCCCAACCAGCCUUCCAGGAUGUCACCGAUUUAUUUUACGAGAUGGCCCCGUCAUCCUGGCCCGCGCCACACCGCGCCGCGCCGCAUCCUCUCUGUUCACGCUUGUACCGAGUCCUUACGCGAUGCGACCCACGGACGGACGUCCUGACGUACACACGGACGCAUAUCGAUGCUUUAUUGGGAACCAUUACCUUUCUACGAUCGCUAUAAGUCCUGCGGUGGAACGCGGCUACGGAUAUCGAUACAGGUUUUCGGCCCCCGAGCCCCGGGGACAAAGUGGGAAAAAAAAGGAAAGAAAAUCAUAAGGCAUCGCAAUCACGUUCUCCGUUCUCGGGAGAUCGAACGCGGAGAUACACGACGAAGAUUUCGAGCAGGCUUCCUUGCCUCUUCGAUGAUACUUUCUCGUUCUCCGUCGUAUCUCUUUAUUUAUUUUCUUCUUUGUAUUAAGCAAGCUCGGAUGAUUAUCUGUUCGUAGUUUUAUUUGAAAUUGGAUUACCCGUGUCGUGUAGGUAUUGGAAUAUACCUGGAAUUUGUCUUGUAAAUGGAAUGUACAAUAUGUUAUUAAAAUCAUAUUAUGCUUAUUUCGAAAUUAAACAUUUGAUUUUAUUUUAUGGCAUAAUUGUAAUUGUUCAUAUGAUUUCUAAAAAAUAUCUUCGCAGUCGUAAUUGUCCGACGAUCAUUAUAAGAAACUUAAUCGACGCUUGAGUAUACCAGGACACUUACUGUCUAAUUGCAUUGUAGCCAACAGGGAAAUCAGGUAGCCCGUCCGAAUCAAUAAACGUCCUGUGACAAUGGAGGCAAGAAUGCCGAGAAAGUGGUCAGGAUUUUGGGACAAAACGGUCGGAUCAGCGAGCAAUUUCCUAGUAGCCCCUGCCGGAAGACGGUUCCCGGCGCAACCCCUAAUUACCAGAAGCAAUUAGAAAAUUGCGUCAGGCCGGGCCAAGGUGCGAUUCAUCAUCAUCCCUUUCGAACAACCGACCCGUCCGCGUCCGCCUGUUCGUUCUCUCUGCGUGUGUUCCCCAUCCCCAGAUUGCUCUGGAUUUCAACACAAAUUUACCUGGCCUGAGAAUAAACUGGAGAUAUCGGCUUGGAAAUUGCGAAAGUAGCGAACGGAAAGGUUUCCCAAGCCGUAGUUCCCGGCGGGGCUCCUGACUCUCGAUGGCUAGGGCGAUAUUCGUCCGGUCUUCGAGAAAUAGAUCGACGAUCGGAACCAUUAUUCAGGGAGGCGACCGGCCGAAAAUCGGAGGACGGAUUAUGGCCGGUGGUUCUCGGGGUAAAUUGGACCGCAUUAGAUGCACAUCGGGAUUAAUGAGGUCUAUUAUUGAGACAGGAAACAGAUUGCUGUCCGAAUAAAAAUAUACGAUGAAUCUUGACUGAAGCUUGAGGGAAAAAACUGAAGUUACGGAAGAAAGAUGUCUUCUGUAUCGCAUCAUUUUAUUAUCCAACAUCCUACACUGUAAGCUACCUCCAAUUAAAUUUAUUAAUAAAGAAGUCGAGUUAAAACAAACUGAAGAUGAUUAAACGUUUGAUCGCUGAGGAAUUUAUUUAAUUUUUAAUUCGCGAUGACAAUAAUUUAGAAGACGGAAUCGAGCAUGACCAUUUUCCAGCACGUUCCCAACUCGGUCCAUUAUUUAUCAAGUUUUGAUGUAUUCCUAUUUAUUAUAAUUUAUGCACGAUCGAGCGCGUCUGAACUGGCUAAGAAUACCGGUUUCUAUUAGCAAGAUUUAAAUCACGAUGUCUAGCGCUGCAAUUUAUCUCAUCCACGAUUUCUCUUCGUUCGAAUAGCACAUCUAAAGACAACUUUUAUUGCUUUCUUAACAGCUCCUUUCAUUUUCGUUUAUUUUCAAAUAAUUCUGAUACAUCUAUAAGGUUACCUUCAGUCUGAAUUCAGUUCCAGCUUUAAUUCUCUUUAAGACGAAAUACGUGUCCCGUUGAUAAUUAUUUCAUGACAAUAAUCAUAUCGAAUCGCGCUUCUUAAUUUGGAAUUCUGUACGAAACUCUAUUUAGGCAAGUUAUUUUAAGCGCUUUAAUAGCUACCAUUACGAAAUGCACACUUUAGAAACGCUUCAGUGGUACUCGCUAAACAGUACAUCCCAUCAUUGCGAGUUACGCAUUGUUACUUUUACUGCCCACACAAAAUUUUUUGCACCGACAUCGUUACUCGUGGCUGUGAAUACCGUCACGUCGAUUUUCAAUCCCAUCCAGACUGGAGCAGCGUGGCGCGACGCGGAGCGACACGGCAGUGGCAUCUCAGCUGCAAGAAAAAUUGAUACGUGGGCCUCUAAUGGCCCAACAAAAACGGACCCAACAGAGACGCGACAACAAAAGCGUAUGCAUAUUAUGAACGGAUGGACGAGGUGCAGGAGGAACGGAUGCCAGAAAUAUAUUGCCUCGGUGCACCCACUCUCUUUCUACGAGUUGCACACGUGGUCCAGACACGAGGAGGGAAGGCCACGGGGAGUGCAGAAAAAGCAGGGAGGAGGUGUAGAAGUGCGGAGAAAGAAACGGAGACAAGAAAAAAGAGAAAAAAAAACGCGCGACGAAGGAAAACAACGGAGACAGAAAGUAGCAGAAAAAGGGAGGAGAACCGAAGAAGAGGACAAGGAAGCAAAGAUAGAAAAAGAAGAACAAAUUUGCGAAGCUCGCGCAUCCCUCCUUUUAUCUGGCUUUGUGACGAGGAGCAGGCGAGGCCCUCACGACAGAAAAUUAGUAAAAUCCGGCGGGUAGCGCGUGGAACUGUCUGUCCCGGUGCCCGGAGUCGGAUUUAUAAGGAGCGAAGCCACGAUUUAUGCUGGGGCCUUGGUUAUUUAUCGAUUUCGAUGGUGCACGCGAUAUCAUUGCACGGAUAUCGAUACGUUCUUGCCUCGAACUCUGGGUUUGGGUUGACUCCUACUCGUCCUUCUUCGUCUUUCUUCUUCCACUUUCGCUGUUCCUCUUUCACUUUAGUUUUCCGAACUUUAUGAAUAAAAUGGAAUUUAUAAUUGGA